RNAcentral lists this ribosomal RNA (432 nucleotides) under uncultured bacterium. RNAcentral's name for it is "partial 16S ribosomal RNA". It matches the Rfam family "Bacterial small subunit ribosomal RNA", at positions 28 to 507 of the family's 1533-position model. The record is from RNAcentral.
GAUGAACGCUGGCGGUAUGCUUAACACAUGCAAGUCGAACGGUACCUUCGGGUAUAGUGGCGGACGGGUGAGUAACGCGUGAGAAUCUAUCUUCAGGUCGGGGACAACAGUUAGAAAUGACUGCUAAUACCGGAUGUGCCGAAAGGUAAAAGAUUUAUUGCCUGAAAAAGAGCUCGCGUCAGAUUAGCUAGUAGGUGGUGUAAGAGACUACCUAGGCUUCGAUCUGUAGCUGGUCUGAGAGGACGAUCAGCCACACUGGAACUGAGACACGGUCCAGACUCCUACGGGGGGCAGCAGUGGGGAAUUUUCCGCAAUGGGCGAAAGCCUGACGGAGCAAUACCGCGUGAGGGACGAAGGCUCUUGGGUCGUAAACCUCUUUUCUCAAGGAAGAUUCAGACGGUACUUGAGGAAUAAGCAUCGGCUAACUCUGUG